Non-coding RNA from Ornithorhynchus anatinus (platypus), 138 nucleotides. NCBI's taxonomy places the organism in Eukaryota, Metazoa, Chordata, Mammalia, Monotremata, Ornithorhynchidae. The record is from Rfam.
CCCCUCUCAGAAUGGCAUCUGGAGAGUUUCCAGUACUUUAUCAGUCUUGGCUAUAGGAGGGAGAGUUAAGCAGAGGCAUACCCAUUCCAUUCCCAGCUAGGACAGUGGCUACUGAGUGGAAGGUAAUCUGCUACAAGU